CCUACGGGAGGCAGCAGUGAGGAAUAUUGGUCAAUGGACGAGAGUCUGAACCAGCCAAGUAGCGUGAAGGAUGACUGCCCCAUGGGUUGUAAACUUCUUUUAUAAAGGAAUAAAACGAGGCACGUGUGCCUUUUUGCAUGUACUUUAUGAAUAAGGAUCGGCUAACUCCGUGCCAGCAGCCGCGGUAAUACGGAGGAUCCGAGCGUUAUCCGGAUUUAUUGGGUUUAAAGGGAGCGUAGAUGGGUUGUUAAGUCAGUUGUGAAAGUUUGCGGCUCAACCGUAAAAUUGCAAUUGAUACUGGCAGUCGUGAGUACAGUUGAGGUAAGCGGAAUUCGUGGUGUAGCGGUGAAAUGCUUAGAUAUCACGAAGAACCCCGAUUGCGAAGGCAGCUUACUAAACUGUGACUGACAUUGAUGCUCGAAAGUGUGGGUAUCAAACAGGAUUAGAUACCCGUGUAGUC
RNAcentral lists this ribosomal RNA (460 nucleotides) under uncultured bacterium. Its description in RNAcentral is "partial 16S ribosomal RNA". It matches the Rfam family "Bacterial small subunit ribosomal RNA", at positions 338 to 795 of the family's 1533-position model. The record is from RNAcentral.